Molecule: long non-coding RNA, 2074 nt
Organism: Syngnathus typhle (broad-nosed pipefish)
Lineage: Eukaryota; Metazoa; Chordata; Actinopteri; Syngnathiformes; Syngnathidae
Exons: 2
Source: RefSeq, a predicted model, not a curated record
CUGAAAACGCACCAGUUAAUCACUCGAUAGAAAUUUUGAAAUUGUUUUAUUAGUUAAAAGAAAACAGACAAGUAUAUAAGUAAACCAUUUUGUCCACGGUGUUAUGAUAAAUACGUGGACUUUGUGUUAUUCGGACACACUCGUGCUGGUUACUGUUAUUAUUAUUAUUAUUAUUAUUUUAAAUACUCAAGUUCACCUAGUUUGCUUUACAGCAUAAGUUUAAAACAAGACCUGGCUUGCCUCUUCAUUUUAUGUGAUACAAAUUUGUGAUCAUUUUUUCUAAAAUCUCCAUGAAAUAGAAAUGAUAGCACAAAGAGACAUUGCAAGCAAUUUUUCUUACCAAGCCCAACAAACUAAUAAUUUUAACACCCCUGACAUAAUUGCAGAGAUUUCAGAGUGUAAAAUGGAACUUUUCCAACAUUUACACGCCGGAUUAAAAUCGUCACAAAUCAUUUGCUAAGGUGCUCAACUCAGUUCAGCCCCUGCAUAAUACUGUUGACACAAUAUGCCAUCUUAGUUGAAUUAAAAAUGUAAGCAAAGGAUGAAGAGUUUGUGGUGUCUUUCAACUUUCCAUCCACCAUUCAACCUCUACACCAAUUGCAAAACCCUUUUGGCCCCUCUCGGGAUUCAAAGUUGGCGGUGUGUCACAUGGCUAAGACAAUGGCUGUAAUUAUGAGCAUUAGGAUUCCAAAAACCUGCGGCCUUUUUCCCCGAAGCCACAUUCCAUCAUGAUGCAGCUGGCUUGAGACUUCCUGCGGCGGCCAUUUUGACAAGAAUUGGCAACCUGGAUCAUUUUUCAUCAGCGCUACUGCUGUUACGUCAAAGUCUGAUAACUAUUUUUAAGACUCACCACAAAUAAAAAGCUUUGCACCCCCCAAUCCGAAUCUUCCCCGAGCGCUCGCAUUCAGCAGGUCCUUUGAGUUCAUCUUCUUGAUCGAUCGCGUCUCCCACGUGAUGUUCUUACUUUCUGGCCAUCUGCCACGGAUAGGAUCGUCGGAAAGUUCUCUCAGCAUGACAAGUGAUUGGGAGUGCAGUUACGCUCAGUCUAACGACUUAUAAUUCACAUGCUGCAGGGCCGAAACAGUAAAACCUUUGUGUAGAAGAGUAACAAUGAGGGCAAAAGUUGUGUUAAAAAAAAAAAAAAAAAACCUGAGGCAAACUACACCACGGGUUUAGCACAAGAGCUUCUAAUUUAACACAAAUAAAACAGGUCAACAAUGAAGCUAUACAACAGGAUUGCAUAAGAAGCCUUUUUAAAAAAUUGCCACUGGCUGUACAUUUUGUAUUUGGCCUCUUUGUAUUGUAUUAUUUAAGGCUUUAAAAAAAGAUUCCUUCCGUGUCGUUAUUUUUUUGCAGUAUAACCUUGAACAGGGCUAGAGUAUAAAUAUUGGAGUUCCACGAAAUGCAUUGAUGACAAUGCUAACAAUGCAAGUGUGUUUACCCAAGUCAAACUAGUUUUUCGAUGGCUGUACAGUAUUCUAUUUUUAUUAUCUCUGUGAGCUGCCUGUCCUUAAAAUCCUCCUAAAAUUUGUAACCCUGGUUGACAUUUCGCAAUGUGUGAUUGGAAUUUUUUAAUUGGUUGGCCUCGGGAACUGUUAUGAAACUUACUGCUAGGGCGUAUCAAAACAAUUAGUUGCACAACAAUGCUUCUUAUGCAUCUCUUUUAAUAUGUUUACUCUGGCGGGGGGGGGGGGGGGGCAAGGAAAUCAACUUCUUUCGAUUUGUAGUCUUAGUGCGGUAGUGAAAGCGGGGAUAAAAGUGUCUUGUCAGCCGCCAUGUUUUAUGUCAAGCGUGACCUCGGCGAGACGUAUGAAUGGAGGGAAAGGCGCCCACAUCUGGUCGGCAAAUGUUCCACGCGAGGAACCAAAUUAUCCCCCGACCAAAAAGCGGCUGGACCGGUCCCUGUUCCCGGCGAACAACGAGCAACAGGGACCAAAAAAAAAGGAUAACUGAUAAUAAAAUGCUUUUGAGCUUUCAUUCAAGAUAAAAUAUGUUGUUUGCGACACUCUGUGCUAAUUUUUACAAUGGAAACGCAAAACAACGGUGAAUUAAACUUUACUGCUGGUGGGGGAAA